RNAcentral lists this ribosomal RNA (441 nucleotides) under Fusibacter sp. VITPRS52. RNAcentral describes it as "bacterial SSU rRNA". It matches the Rfam family "Bacterial small subunit ribosomal RNA", at positions 9 to 430 of the family's 1533-position model. The record is from RNAcentral. Lineage: Bacteria; Bacillati; Bacillota; Clostridia; Eubacteriales; Fusibacteraceae.
CGAGUUUGAUCUUGGCUCAGGAUGAACGCUGGCGGCGUGCCUAACACAUGCAAGUCGAGCGAGAUUAAGUGGAGUGAGGGCUUCGGCCUGAGUGAAGCUUAUGAAAGCGGCGGACGGGUGAGUAACGCGUGGGCAACCUGCCCCAUACAGAGGGAUAGCCACUGGAAACGGUGAUUAAUACCUCAUAAGUCAGUAGGAUCGCAUGAUUUAGCUGACAAAGAUUUAUCGGUAUGGGAUGGGCCCGCGUCUGAUUAGCUAGUUGGUGAGGUAACGGCUCACCAAGGCGACGAUCAGUAGCCGACCUGAGAGGGUGAUCGGCCACACUGGAACUGAGACACGGUCCAGACUCCUACGGGAGGCAGCAGUGGGGAAUAUUGCACAAUGGGCGCAAGCCUGAUGCAGCAACGCCGCGUGGGUGAUGAAGGCCUUCGGGUUGUAAAC